UGGGGAAUAUUGCACAAUGGGGGCAACCCUGAUGCAGCCAUGCCGCGUGUGUGAAGAAGGCCUUCGGGUUGUAAAGCACUUUCAGCGAGGAGGAAGGCGACAGGGUGAAUAGCGCUGUUGAUUGACGUUACUCGCAGAAGAAGCACCGGCUAACUCCGUGCCAGCAGCCGCGGUAAUACGGAGGGUGCAAGCGUUAAUCGGAAUGACUGGGCGUAAAGCGUACGCAGGCGGUGUGUUAAGUCAGAUGUGAAAUCCCCGGGCUCAACCUGGGAACGGCAUUUGAAACUGGCAUGCUAGAGUUUCGUAGAGGGGGGUAGAAUUCCAGGUGUAGCGGUGAAAUGCGUAGAGAUCUGGAGGAAUACCGGUGGCGAAGGCGGCCCCCUGGACGAAGACUGACGCUCAUGUACGAAAGCGUGGGGAGCAAACA
Molecule: ribosomal RNA, 427 nt
Filed under: uncultured bacterium
Lineage: Bacteria
Description: bacterial SSU rRNA
Rfam family: Bacterial small subunit ribosomal RNA
Source: RNAcentral